Molecule: RNase P RNA, 360 nt
Filed under: Acidobacteriota bacterium
Lineage: Bacteria; Pseudomonadati; Acidobacteriota
Description: RNase P RNA component class A
Rfam family: Bacterial RNase P class A
About the family: Ribonuclease P (RNase P) is a ubiquitous endoribonuclease, found in archaea, bacteria and eukarya as well as chloroplasts and mitochondria.
Source: RNAcentral
UGAGUCGGCUGGGUGGUCGCGCCGCGCGGUAACGCGUGGUGAGGAAAGUCGGGGCUCCAGAGGGCAGGGUGCUCGCGAAACGUGAGUCGCGGUGACGUGCAGGACAGUGCCACAGAGAACAGACCGCCGAUGACUCAGGCAACUGAGAACAGGUAAGGGUGAAACGGUGCGGUAAGAGCGCACCAGCGCGCUAGGUGACUAGAGCGGCUUGGUAAACCCCACCCGGAGCAAGAUCAAACACGAGAGCGCGGCCCGCGAGCUUCGUCAGAAGCACUCUCGAGGUAGAUCGCAUAGAUGGAUGACCGCCCACCUCGCUUCGCGGCGAGGGGACAGAACCCCGCUUACAGGUCGACUCGCCAU